RNAcentral lists this unclassified non-coding RNA (5643 nucleotides) under Leishmania donovani. RNAcentral describes it as "gene:LdHU3.33.3680(CDS-product:hypothetical_prote in_conserved)". Lineage: Eukaryota; Euglenozoa; Kinetoplastea; Trypanosomatida; Trypanosomatidae. The record is from RNAcentral.
AUCAACGAACACGUACACGACCCCACAGACGGGACCUCCACACCGUGGCCGAAGAGCGUGGGCAAACGUGUCUACACAGAGCCUUGCCCCGACAACGCUCCGGAAGCCCCACCACGCGCGCUGCGAGGCUUUCACAGUAGCCUUGCGUCUGCGCUGGUCACCGCUUCUGCUCUUGUUUUCCUUUUUGCUAUCAUGACCGCACUGGAUGCUGCCGCUGACGAUGCGGCGCCUUCGUUGGAGAACGUGGCCGCUGCCGGGGCAACACUGUGGCCGACAGAGACAUUUCUGCACUUCUCGUCUUUUAGGGAUGCGUACAGCGCAUGGCAUGAACACGGCGACUUCUUCCGCUGGCUGCAGUCGAGUGACUAUGCGGUGGCGCUGCUGGCGGCGUCCAAUUUGCAUCCUCUCCACUUCACGGUGAGGGCGCCGGCAACAACGCCAACGGCACACUCUCCCAACGCCACGGAAACACCCGCUGUACACCUGGUGCUGUGCGCACCGUGCUGCAACACUACCGUCGUUCUGUCGGAAGAGGAGCGGCUAGCGCUGGCCAAGUUGGCACGUAUCCUUCCAUUCCAUGUGGGCCCGAGCGGUGUAGCGACCCCGAACGAGCACUCCACCGCGAUACUGGCGCACGCUACGCAGCUAGAGCGACAGCAUCGGAUCACGGCUGGCUUGCUGGCGCGCGCUCACCGAGAGGGCUGUGCCUGGCGCGACCGACAUACUACUGGCGAGCAGGGCGUCGCAACCGACGAGGCCACGGUCUCCUGUGCUCGCCAACUCCUGCUAGGGAGCCCGUCGCUGAGUAUCAUGGAGUCCGCGACGGUUCGCGCCUUUUGUGCCGCGGUGAUACUUCGCCCACCAGAUGCUGAAGCGGCCACUAGCACAGCAGCUCGGACACGCUGCCUGCUUCCACGAGGAACCCCGCCUAGCGUGGUGCGGCAGUGUAUGGAGGACACGCUGGCCGUUCUGGACCCCGCCUCGUCUGGGGUCAACUGCGCAGCUGGCACCGUUGUGCCCAGACUGCGGUACACGGGAAGCAACGUGAAUGAUCGUAUUCUGCAGCUCUUUUUCGCUCCAAAGAAGCGCCCUCGGCCAGAGCCGAGCAGCGGCGCCGCUUGCUCUGAGACUGGCGUGAACGGGGAGGUGGUGCUGCAGUACAUGGCAUUGCUGAUGAUACUCUACGGGUACACGGUGGCUGCUACGGGUGACGUGCAAUCGGUGGAGGCAGAGAACUCCGACGGUGACGCGGCCGACUUGGAGCAUGCGGAAUGCGCCGCUCGUGCAGGAACCUUCCGACCUUCUCGCUGGGGAGCACCGCCAUGGAAGAGCCCACCGACGAUCCUAUCCUCCGCAGACGAGGAGGAAGGGAACAGACGCGUGCACAAGGAGACAUCGACGCAGUCGGAGAUGGUUUCUUUCGCGGACGCGAUGAUGCUCCUUGGAUGGCAUGUGCGGUGCCAGUUCUGCGCCCACAGCCCUGCUGUGGUGGCCGUGCGCGAGAUUGUCACGACAGCCACGACAACCACAAUCGCGACAACCGGGACAGCUGAGGCUUUGGACACUGCUGCUUGCGCUUUUGGUCGCUCAACUGCAGACGUAUCCCGCGACGAAACGCAGAGUUUUGUUGACGAAGAUGUUGAUCUGCGGCAACCGCAGCAACGGGCAGGGACUUCGGUGGGGUCCAGUAGUGGCGAUGGCGUUGGGGGCGGCAACGAAGACGUCCUUGAUGCCCUUGCGGAGGUGGAGGCAGCGAUUCUCAGCGCCAACCGCAGUCGGCACUCCGGCGAGGUCAAGGACGAGGCUGCCGUUGUCGCCGCUGCACUUGUGAACGGUUCAGCGGAUCAGAGUGACGGAGCUAAGGACGGUGACGACAAGCUUGAGGCGUGCGCGUACUCACAGGGGUACGGGGAGGAAGACGCCGCGGUGAGCGCUACGCCGUCCUCGUCUGCCAGCCGAGGCAGCCGGGAUGGUCGCAGCGAAGAGGAGGUGCGCGUGAGCCUUGGGUUGGGCAGCGACAUCGCCUGCAAUGAAGAGAUGCCCACCGAGGAGGAUUCAGAGGAAGCACUCGGUGAGCAGAGCACACACAUGCGCAGCGGUGUCGCACUCUCGCCGGUGGAGGCGACUACACUUCUGGGCACCGCUGAUGCUGGCGCCGCCGCAGAGGCCUUUGCCUUCCCCUCAACGACUGUGACGACCAAGACGGUAACGAAGAUCGAAACGCGGUCUGUCACCACUAUUACAAUGACCUUUUCUCAGCGCCUAGCACUGCAGAAGGACACCCCGCAGCAGCAGCAGCAGCAAUGCAGUGACACCUCCAACAGCGGCCACCACGGCAACUGUCCAUGGCAUCGACUGUUUCUGACCGACGCCAUCGACGCAACGGCCCUCGCGGCACCGGAGCGCUUCAUGGACUUUACAUGGGUGGUGGGCGAGGAUGGCGACACACUACACGAAGAGAGGGUGGCGGACCGAAGUAACGCCGCGCCCACGUACGCGGCGACGUCUGAAGAUCGAGCUCAAUGCGGCACACACGAGACAGCGCGUGGCGUGGAUGCCGACGGUGAGGAGCUGCUCGCCCCACCUCAGCACCCCUUGCAGUCAGAGGGUGAGAGCGACGUCUGCGAGGCCUCCGAAAAGAACUCGAAUCGCACUCUUCUCGUCUUACGCUUUUUGCUUCCUGAAGUGGAGCGCCUCAUCACGACGUGGCGACUCAGCGAGGAGUGGGAGCGCACGCGGCCGGACGAGUACCUGCGACACCCCCUAUGGCGCACAUGGCUAACGUCGCAGACGCUGCACCCGGUGCAUACGGAGAACGCCGACGGCAUGAUGGAGCAGUACUUGCGCGUUCUCGAGCGUCGACUAAUGCCGUUGCAGAGCACAGCAGAGGAGACAGGCGCGCCCGAAAAGAGCCCCGCCGCGGCGGCCGGCGGCAAGGGCAAUGACAGCAGCGUGAAGAACAAAGCAGCAGCAAAGACGAUGGAGGCCGCGAAGUGGGAAGCGCUAGGGACUUUGGAGGAGCUUGGGGCCACGAUUGGCGCCCCUCUCUACAGCGUCAACGCCAGCUCAUUCAACCGAACCGUGGAGAGUGCCUUGCACUUGGCUACUCGCUCGCUGCACCGCUGCUUUGCGGGCGACCAGGCAGCAGCUGCGGCAGGCGGAAGAGCGAACUCCGCUGAUGCGCGCGCGUUACUGCGUGAGGGACUUCGAUCGGUGCUGCGGGCUUCGGGCCCCUCGGCAGCCCAAAGCGUCGCUGGCAGCAGCGGAGGGGAACUAAAAGUUGCCUUCUCCGCGGCGGACAACGAAGAGUCGCGAGGAAAGGAGGCAGCUGAGGCAGCGCGGGCCUUCUUGAAAACGAUGGAGGCGCGCUACGCCGACGAUGUCGUUCGUGAAGGCAGCUGUAGCGCAUCACGGCUUCGACUCGCGCUGCAGCGCGAAGCCAUUCCUCACGGUUUGCACGAAUUCACGACCUUCAUAUACCCAACGUUGCAACGUCAAGCUGGCGACUGCUCCAUCUCUGUUGCUGAUCCAGUUUACGUCGUGAACACCGCCUCUGGCAGCACCAACGCCGCGCCAUCCCAUACCCCCAGCGAUGUUGACCGCUGUCGUGUGAUGCAGUACCUACAAGGCAUGCAGCACACCGCGCAGGAGGAGCAGCUGCAGGUGCAGCACGAAAGGGAGAGGCGGGAGGAGGCACAGCGGCUUGCAGAUGCAAAGGCGGCGGCGGUAAGCUCCGCCCCAGCAGCCACUACUGCACCUUCCGCACCGGAGGCUCGCGUUCCGGCUACACAGAUGAGUGCAAACAAGAGACCUGCAAAGCAGCAGCAGCGACAGCAGCAACAGCAGCGGCAGCAGCACUCUCAUGACAGCAGAGACCCACAUUCCUCGGCGCAUCAGUCGCCAUUGCCGAACCAAAAGCAGCUCCGAUCAACGCACGAGGCGCCGGCACCGAGCCAAGGCACUUCAAUGGUGCCAGCGCCCGAUUCGACACCCACGUCAAGCAGCUCGGCCGUCUUUCAGGGGGUCGUGCGCCACAGCGGUGGUCCUCCGAUGCAACAGGUCAGGUAUGAUAACCCGCUGUGGGGCUCUCCGCAGCCCUUUUCACACGGCGCUUCAGGAGUGUCACCACCGCUUCAGCCGACACCAGUGCACCACCUCACUCACGGCAUGGCGGACAACAGCGCUGUGCCUCCUAUCCCUGCAUCGUUCAAAGCCCAGAGGGGCGACAGUAGGCUGUUCAUCCCGUCAGUCGACAGUAGCUUCUUUCCUCCGCCGAGUGUGGCGCCGGCCGGUGGCCAAGAGCCUAUUUUCCGCGACAGCGGCAUCGGCGGGGAAGCGCUCACUGGCUCUGGCUUUGUGAGCGAUGGCGGGCCCCUCUUCUCAGCUCUUCACCCCUUCGGGUGGUUGCCUUUUCCAUCAGGCCCCUCGGGAGGGGACGACACGGCUGUUUUGGAAACAAGCGUGUACGCCCACCCAUCUGCGGGCGCCCCGCCGCGCGGUCGUGCCGGCGGUCCUCCUCCACGCUCCGGCGACUCGGUUUGGGGCAGCCUCAACACGAGCAACCUUAGCAGCGGCAGCGGUGGCCCUGCAGAGGAUGUGCGUCUCUCCAAUUGGAGCAGCAGCUCGAUAUCGCAGGGGCCCGCGACCGGUGAUGGCGGUGGUGGUGCAGUUCUUGGCCCAAUUACAUCUUCUGUCCUUCUGCAAGAUAGCACCGGUGGUGGUAGCCGUAAUGUCGGCGGUUCCUCGGCGCCGAGUGUGCUCGGCACCUCAGCGCCGUCGUCCUUUACUGGACCGAAAGCACCCACGUCCGGCACGCAGCCUUUGCCGGCGUCGCGUGGCGGCGCUACCAACCGCGGCCGUGGUAGCGGUGGUGGGCGACAGAAUAUGCCGCUGCCGGCAUUGCACAGCCAGCCUUCCCCGAGAGUCAAAGCUGGUUCCUCUGUCCUUGGGGGUGGAGGACCGAAUGCGCACGCACCACCAGCUCGUGGUGGCUGCGGCGGUGCUGGGGGACGCAGCGGGCAAGGCCGAAAUCGCGGUGGCGGUGGCGGUGGUCAACGGCGCGGUGGUGGCGGCCGUGCUGGUGGCGGUGGCGGUGGCGGUUUUCGUCGAGGCGGCUAAAGAUGUCGCUAUUUCCUCAAGUGAUCAAAAGGCCGAGGCGGUGGCUCUCCGUCACCUCUAUCGGUAUGCGCGUAACAGAUGACUCCCACACGAGUGCACGUAUACUGAGUCGCUCUCCGGCACGGGCACAUGCAUGCCCGCAUGGGUACGCAGGAGGGCACUAACAUAGCGGCGAAUCCUUCCUGUGGAUGGGGACGGCAGCAACCCACUGAAGUAGGGUGAUGUAUGCACACCGGCGGUACCUGCGUGCAAAUGGCUUUUUGUGUUGGACGGCUACGGUUAUGCGCGCAACUGACGUUCCGUGCGACCGCGGCAGCAUGUCUUCUUCCCGAGCAGGCGUGCCCGCGUUCUCAGCCGUUUCUUUCUGACGCUGUUCCCUCGACAGCCCACAGUUGCCUUUACUACGCGCGCGUUCCUUUCGGUCUGCAAUUCCUUUUCCGAUAAACGUCUCCUACUUGUAAUCACGUACCCUGCUUCUUUGCCGUGCCCUUCCACGCGCUCUCUCUCACCAUAUGUGCCCACCAG